RNAcentral lists this small RNA (107 nucleotides) under Marmota monax (woodchuck). Lineage: Eukaryota; Metazoa; Chordata; Mammalia; Rodentia; Sciuridae. The record is from RNAcentral.
GCUGGGUACGGUGGCCCAGGCCUGUGAUCCCAGCAAUUUAGGAGGCUGAGGCUGGAGGAUUGUAAAUUAGAGGCCAGUCUCAUCAAUUUAGCAAGACCCUGUCUCAA